Molecule: transfer RNA, 85 nt
Filed under: Kingella kingae
Lineage: Bacteria; Pseudomonadati; Pseudomonadota; Betaproteobacteria; Neisseriales; Neisseriaceae
Description: tRNA-Leu
Rfam family: tRNA
About the family: Transfer RNA (tRNA) molecules are approximately 80 nucleotides in length. Their secondary structure includes four short double-helical elements and three loops (D, anti-codon, and T loops).
Source: RNAcentral
GCCCAGGUGGCGAAAUUGGUAGACGCAGGGGACUCAAAAUCCCUCGCCGCAAGGUGUGUCGGUUCGAGUCCGACCCUGGGCACCA